UUAUUUUUUUUAAGGCCCCAAAGAGUCCGAUGUUUACAAGACCAGAAAUGCCACAGCCGCGUCCUGGCAAAGAAAAGGCUGAAAUGGAGGACCGGCGCCUUCCUUAUAAGCUCAUUGGGGCCUGAGCCAGCACCGACCUGGUAGAAAAAGCAACCACGAAGCUAGAGAGAGAGCCAGAGGAGGGAAGAGAGCACCAGACGAAGGUGAAAGCGAACCACGCAGAGAAAUACAGGCAAGGGAGCAAGGCGGCAGUUCCCGGAACAAACGUGGCAGAGGGCAAGACAGGCACUCACAGACAGAGGUUUAUGUAUUUUUAUUUUUUUAAAAUCUGAUUUGGUGUUCCAUGACGAAAAGGGAAAAUCUGGGGAACAGGAGUACAGAGAGAAUUAUCCGGGUCCUAGCUCGCCACAUGAACGCCCAGAAGGAGAGAACGCUGGAAAAACCUGAGCGGGUGCCCGGGCAGCACCCGGCUCCGGUCAGCCGCUGCCCCACACGGUGCCGGGAUGGGCCCACCAACUCCCCCCUCACGGCCACCCGGGCUUCCUUGCUCUUCUUAUCAUCUCCAUCUUUAUGACAAGGCUUGUUAACAAGACCAGCGAGCUGGCCACGCACAUCUAUCUCAACCGCGCCCGCUCAGCCGAGCAGCGGCCGGCGGGGGGACUGGGAGGCGCUAAUUAAUUGAUUCCUUUGGACUGUAAAAUAUGGCGGCGUCUACACGGAAUCCAUGGACUCAUAAACAAUAUCUCUGCUGGGCGUGAGUGCACUGUCAAAGAAUUUUUCCAUAGGCAUGUGUCAGAGGGUUCUGGAUAUUUAGUUGCUAAGGAAAAACCCAAAUGGGACUAACUUUAGGAGGCCCAAACAGAGUUCGUUCAGUGCCAGAAAAUGCUUCCCCAAAGGGGUUGGGAGUGUGUUUUGUUGGAAAAAUCCUUGGGUUAUAGCAAAGCCUUUCCAUGCUACUUGUGUAGACCCAGCCCAGUUUAAUAAUUACAAGGAAGCGAAGGGGUUGUGUAGGCCGGAAGCCUUUCUGUCCCAGCUGGAUGCAGGGGACUUGAGCUGCUCCGGGAUUUGAGAGGAACAUAGUAGCAGAGGUCCAGCCUUUGCUUCAUGCUGCCUCCUAAAGAUUCAAAAACAAAUUUUUAAAAGUGAAACCAGCCUUAUAGCCUUCGGAAGCUCUUGAAGGCUCAGCACCCACCCAGGAAUCCACCUGCCUAUUACACGCCUCUCCAAGCCACAGUGGCACCCCUUUUCUAACUGGCAGCACAGAGCAACUCUAUAAUAUGCUUAUAUUAGGUCUAGAAGAAUGCAUCUUGAGACACGUGGGUAGCCUAAUUAUAUAAUGCUUAUUCCAUACAGGAGUGAUUAUGCAGUGGGACCCUGCUGCAAACGGGACUUUGCACUCUAAAUAUAGACCCCAGCUUGGGACAAAAGUUGCAACAGAUAAAUAGACAUAAGGGAACACUUAAAUAAGUAAUGCAUGUAGACAUGGAAGGGGUAUUUAAAAGACAGAAAUAAUAGAAGUACAGAAGAACAGAAAAAAGACUCAGCAGAUGGAGAUUACCAUUCCCAAAGCCUGAACUUCCUCCUGCUAUUAAGAUUGCUAGAGAAUUGUGUCUUAUGAACAGUUCAUGAACCCAGAAGAAUGCAAUUUCAAUGUAUUUAGUCCACACACAGUAUGUAUAUAAACACAACUCACAGAAUAUAUUUUCCAUACAUUGGGUAGGUAUGCACUUUGUGUAUAUAUAAUAAUGUAUUUUCCAUGAAGUUUUAAAACGUAGAUAUAUUAAUAUCUGGAUGCAUUUUCUAUGCACUGGUUUUAUAUGCCUUAUGGAGUAUAUACUCACAUGUACCUAAUAGACUCAGGACUGCACAUUCCUUGUGUAGGAUGUGUGUGUGUGGUGGUUAUAUGUGUAAAUAAAGUUUUACAUGUGGUGAA
Chlorocebus sabaeus (green monkey) is the source of this 1933-nucleotide non-coding RNA. NCBI's taxonomy places the organism in Eukaryota, Metazoa, Chordata, Mammalia, Primates, Cercopithecidae. The record is from RefSeq and is a predicted model, not a curated record.